This 253-nucleotide ribosomal RNA is filed under the name uncultured bacterium. RNAcentral's name for it is "partial 16S ribosomal RNA". It matches the Rfam family "Bacterial small subunit ribosomal RNA", at positions 524 to 776 of the family's 1533-position model. The record is from RNAcentral.
UACGAAGGGGGCUAGCGUUGUUCGGAAUCACUGGGCGUAAAGCGCACGCAGGCGGAUUGAUAAGUCGGGGGUGAAAUCCCGGGGCUCAACCUCGGAAUUGCCUUCGAUACUGUCUGUCUUGAGUCCGGGAGAGGUGAGUGGAAUUUCUAGUGUAGAGGUGAAAUUCGUAGAUAUUAGGAAGAACACCAGUGGCGAAGGCGGCUCACUGGCCCGGUACUGACGCUCAUGUGCGAAAGCGUGGGGAGCAAACAGG